This 118-nucleotide long non-coding RNA is filed under the name Pandoravirus neocaledonia. RNAcentral describes it as "hypothetical ncRNA". The record is from RNAcentral.
UUUGAUUGUUCGACCUCUUUUUUUAUUUUCCUCUAUCUUUCUGUUUUUUUGGGGGGCGACACCCACCGUCCCUCUCGGGUUUGUCUUCCUUUUUGGGCCGCUGCCAAAGGGGCAAAAA